GGGGAUGUUCCGGUUUUGACAGAAAGCAUGAUUGGAACAGGUUGCGGGUACGGGUGCUGUUCCCGUUCAAAACAAGCAAUUCAAUAAGUGCAAAUAACACUGUUGACGCCAGAGCUGCAUUUGCUAGAAAUGCAUACGCAGUAGCUGCCUAAGCGCAGUUGGCCUCUUAUAUUUCCCAGCUUGCCGGAGGUAUAGGACAAUUAUGCAAGACGCAGUGCAUUUAUGACGGUAGAUGCAUCAAGAUUUCCGUUGAAAGUUAGCCAUACUGCAACAAUGGCUUUGGAAUACAGAUGGUAGCGAUUUUUCCGAUGUAUUUUGAGAUUAAUUAAAAUCUACACUCGUAGAGAUUUGUUCAGAUCCUUUUUGGACGUGGGUUCGACUCCCACCAUCUCCAAAA
RNAcentral lists this transfer-messenger RNA (397 nucleotides) under bacterium. It matches the Rfam family "transfer-messenger RNA". Rfam says of the family: Bacterial tmRNA, also known as 10Sa RNA or SsrA, is named for its dual tRNA and mRNA-like properties. Its role is to liberate the mRNA from a stalled ribosome. RNAcentral also lists the same sequence under 1 other name. The record is from RNAcentral.